GAGAGAGAGAGAGAGAGAGAGAGAGAGAGAUUUCUUCACAGCAACUAGAGGAAGGAUCCAAAGGGAUCGCAUUGAUCCUAAUUAAGAUUCUCCGGCAUUGACAUCAUCGGACGCAUCGCCGGUGUCCUCGCCGGCGGAAAUUCCCGGCGCCGACGAGGCUACCCAACAAGCAAGCAACUUGUUCUUACGCCACGAAGACAAGGACCAUAUAAUUUUCUUUUUUCCCUUGGUUGCUUCUUAAUUACAAGUAAUUUACAUUGUGUAUUUUAACCUAUAUAUAUACACAUAUACGUAUGUAUCUUCAAAGAAA
Molecule: long non-coding RNA, 310 nt
Organism: Tarenaya hassleriana
Lineage: Eukaryota; Viridiplantae; Streptophyta; Magnoliopsida; Brassicales; Cleomaceae
Exons: 2
Source: RefSeq, a predicted model, not a curated record